Long non-coding RNA from Sciurus carolinensis (gray squirrel), 1288 nucleotides. RefSeq lists it as uncharacterized. The record is from RefSeq and is a predicted model, not a curated record. The transcript is spliced from 3 exons. NCBI's taxonomy places the organism in Eukaryota, Metazoa, Chordata, Mammalia, Rodentia, Sciuridae.
CCUGGGUCUGCCAUAUCGAGCAUUCAGCUCUAGGCUUCACUCACCUGCCUAGGAUUACCAGGUCGCUCUGCUGAAGGGGCUGAAGGUCCCUAGGGAGAAGGACUGGCUUCUGAACACCAGGAAAUGGAAUGAGGCUCUUCACCCCUCAUCAGCAGGAAGAAGCUACAGAAGAAGGACCAUUGUCCCACCCCUGGACCUGUCUGAAUUCCUGCCAGAUGUGUGAGAUCCAUCAAUCAUCAUGCGUUGGCAUUAAGAACUUCUCAAAUUGAUUCCUAAAUUCUAUUUGACCCUGGAUGAAGAGGAACCUAAUUCAAAGAAGGAACAUCCAGUAAGAACAAGAGACCCAAGAAACCCUCAGUCUUCUAACCAUCUAGUGACUUUGGGGGGAUAUAAAGAUUUUAACAACAUCUGCUCAACAAUUGCUAGCCCAGAUGGAUUUAGAAUGUACCUUGGAAAAUUUGGUUACAGUUCUGUUUGUGAAAAUUACCCAGAAUUCCACAACUAUGCUGACUGUUAUUGUGUUAUUUCUAUGUUAUUGUACCCUUAUUGGUGGUGCCCCAGUACUUAGCAAAAAUUGUUAAUUCUUUUCAAAUUGGUAUCAUCAAUCUCUUCUUGAUAAUACAGUGGCUAUUGAUUAUUUGCUGGUGUUAUAUCAUAAGGAAUGCCAGAAUUUAAUAAUGUGUGUUGUUUCCAUUUAACUAGUAAUAUAACCCAAUUUAAAGGGAAUUGGAUCAUCUUAAGGACUUUGUAAAGAAGGUGCAGGAAGAUGAUGGAAGAUGGGAAUUUUUAGAUUGGUUAACCUCAUGACUACCAAAUUUUAUAUAGAUCAAGGAGCUUUUCAUUGGAGAAUGUUUAUUGAUAUUUGCCUUAUUAUACUCUGCUUGUUUUUGCCAAUGUUUGCCUUGCUUUCUCCCUCCAUCUUCCUUGAACAUAAGACAAGUCAUGUCUAUUCUAAAGGCAAUACAAAUCAAAAUAGGGGAGUUGUAGGAAUUUCAAAUCAGUCAAUGUUCAGAGGAUCAAAAGUCAUUUCAGUUGAGCAAAUGCCUCAGGACACAAUAGGUGCUCUGUUUGAAUGACUUAGAAAUGCUCUGCAACCCUUUGGUCCAUGAAGCCUGGGGACAUUAUAUUAUUAUAAUAACCUUUGGUCCUAGUGGACUCUGAUAAGCAAGUUAUGUAAUCUGGACAUAAAUAAAGUUAACUGUACUAUGUAUCCUAGUGUAACCUGAUAUGACCCUGGAAUAGAUAAUAAACUGGACUGACUUUCCCAUGAGAGCCACUUCUUGCUCUU